This 87-nucleotide transfer RNA is filed under the name Perkinsus olseni. RNAcentral describes it as "tRNA-Pro". It matches the Rfam family "tRNA". Rfam says of the family: Transfer RNA (tRNA) molecules are approximately 80 nucleotides in length. Their secondary structure includes four short double-helical elements and three loops (D, anti-codon, and T loops). The record is from RNAcentral. Lineage: Eukaryota; Perkinsozoa; Perkinsida; Perkinsidae.
GACAGCGUGUCCGAGUGGUUAGGGAGGUGGACUUGGAAUCCAUGAGGCUCAGCUUGCGCAGAUUCGAAUCCUGCCGCAAUCGGGUUA